GUCUAUGGCCACACCACCCUGAACGCGCCCGAUCUCGUCUGAUCUCGGCAGCUAAGCAGGGUCGGGCCUGGUUAGUACUUGGAUGGGAGAAACCUGCUUAAGGACCAGAGACA
Molecule: ribosomal RNA, 113 nt
Filed under: Castor canadensis (American beaver)
Lineage: Eukaryota; Metazoa; Chordata; Mammalia; Rodentia; Castoridae
Source: RNAcentral